CAAAAAUGUAUUACCGUGCAUGGUAUCAUCGUUGCUGAUUGGUGACCUACAUGACAACGUACAGAGAUGCUAUUGUGCUCGUUGGCUUUAUCGACUCUGCACACACCGGUAUAAUUGAGUGUGUAAAUCGCACUGAACGGGCACUGUCUAUGUCAAAUCGAUACAUAUUAGGGAAACCGGGGCAGAUAUUUUUGGUUCCAUAUAACUCAGGUACUCAUUGGAUGUUAUUGGUGGUACCCGGAUGAAGAAGUCGUGCAUUUCAUGGAUCAGCUAAAAAGGCGACUUUGUGCUGGUGAAUGGAAAACUAUUGUCGACAAUUAAGUCUGCUUCCCAAAUUUUUUUUUUACUAUAUUGAUCAGUUGAUGCUGUUUCUUCAUGUAUUGAACUUGCUGCUUACUAAUUAUAAUUUUUGUGAUCAUCAUUUUCAAGCUCCAUUAAAAUCUUCAAUGCCCAAAAGGGUAGGAAAGGAAGGAAAAUAAUCCAAUGGAAGAAUCUUGCUGGUAUUCCGGAGCAAACUGAUUCUAAGACUUGUGGUUAUUUUGUCAUGCGUUAUAUGAAAGAAAUUGUGGAGGACAAGAACUUGGAGUUUGCUACCAAGUGGAAAAGGAAAUCAAAUCUUGCUUACACACAGAGGGAUAUUGAUGUGGUUCGAGCUGAAUGGGCAAAUCAUGUUAUGAAGUUCUAACUUUGGUUCUGUUUAAGGUAGAUGAGUAGCACUAGGAACUGCUUUUGUGCAUUUAUAUAUAAUUGAUGGAAAGUGUUGAUAAACCUAAAUUAUGCAUGCAGUUGCUCUGCCUAGCUACUCUUUCUUUACCUUAUAGGUUUUUGACUUGGUGCAAUAUUAGGUAAAUG
Molecule: long non-coding RNA, 852 nt
Organism: Rosa chinensis
Lineage: Eukaryota; Viridiplantae; Streptophyta; Magnoliopsida; Rosales; Rosaceae
Exons: 5
Source: RefSeq, a predicted model, not a curated record